Sphaerodactylus townsendi is the source of this 202-nucleotide long non-coding RNA. RefSeq lists it as uncharacterized. NCBI's taxonomy places the organism in Eukaryota, Metazoa, Chordata, Lepidosauria, Squamata, Sphaerodactylidae. The record is from RefSeq and is a predicted model, not a curated record. The transcript is spliced from 2 exons.
CAAGGCUACCAGACUCGGACCUUAGUUUAUAUAAAUAUAACUACCUGUAUUAAAAGUUUCUUUUUGUAUUUUGUAAUGGGUGAGGGAUUCUCCUGGAAACCUUCAUCAUAGUAGAAUCCUGUUCACCAAAGCCCUUGCGAGUCUUCAGGAGCCAACCCACUUGCAAAGAAGAAUUAGACUUAAGCAGUAUCAGUAGACUAUA